UUGACAGCAACGGCGAGUCGAUGCGACAGUGCGCGAGUAAACGCGACGUCGAAACGGGAAUUCCGGUGCAACUCCGGAGCGGUCGCGCCACUGUGAUCGAGGUACGCCUCGAGAAGCCAGACACCGUCGACGGCGCAAGGAUUUAC
This is a regulatory RNA element of Rhodococcus sp. RD6.2, 146 nucleotides long. The record is from Rfam. Lineage: Bacteria; Bacillati; Actinomycetota; Actinomycetes; Mycobacteriales; Nocardiaceae.